AUUGAACGCUGGCGGCACGCCUUACACAUGCAAGUCGAACGGCAGCAUAGAGAGCUUGCUCUCUGAUGGCGAGUGGCGAACGGGUGAGUAAAGCAUCGGAACGUACCGUGUAGUGGGGGAUAACGUAGCGAAAGUUACGCUAAUACCGCAUACGCACUGAGGUGGAAAGCCGGGGACCGCAAGACCUUGCGCUAGACGAGCGGCCGAUGUCAGACUAGCUAGUUGGUGGGGUAAAGGCCUACCAAGGCGACGAGCUGUAGCGGGUCUGAGAGGAUGAUCCGCCACACUGGGACUGAGACACGGCCCAGACUCCUACGGGAGGCAGCAGUGGGGAAUUUUGGACAAUGGGGGCAACCCUGAUCCAGCCAUGCCGCGUGAGUGAAGAAGGCCUUCGGGUUGUAAAGCUCUUUCGGCCGGGAAGAAAUCGCACAGGCUAAUACUCUGUGUGGAUGACGGUACCGGCAUAAGAAGCACCGGCUAACUACGUGCCAGCCGCCGCCGUAA
Molecule: ribosomal RNA, 504 nt
Filed under: uncultured bacterium
Lineage: Bacteria
Description: partial 16S ribosomal RNA
Rfam family: Bacterial small subunit ribosomal RNA
Source: RNAcentral